Molecule: ribosomal RNA, 273 nt
Filed under: uncultured bacterium
Lineage: Bacteria
Description: partial 16S ribosomal RNA
Rfam family: Bacterial small subunit ribosomal RNA
Source: RNAcentral
UACAGAGGGUGCAAACGUUGCUCGGAAUUAUUGGGCGUAAAGCGCAUGUAGGCGGCACGGUAAGUCGACUGUGAAAGCCCUUGGCUCAACCAAGGAAGUGCAGUCGAAACUGCCGAGCUCGAGUUCUGAAGAGGGUCGCGGAAUGGCCAGUGUAGAGGUGAAAUUCGUAGAUAUUGGCUAGAACACCAGUGGCGAAGGCGGCGACCUGGGAAGAUACUGACGCUGAGAUGCGAAAGCGUGGGGAGCAAACAGGAUUAGAAACCCCCGUAGUCC